UAUGAAGGGGGCUAGCGUUGAUCGGAAUUACUGGGCGUAAAGCGCACGUAGGCGGAUUUUUAAGUCAGGUGUGAAAUCCCGGGGCUCAACCUCGGAACUGCAUUUGAAACUGGAAGUCUUGAGACCAGGAGAGGUUAGCGGAAUACCGAGUGUAGAGGUGAAAUUCGUAGAUAUUCGGUGGAACACCAGUGGCGAAGGCGGCUAACUGGACUGGUACUGACGCUGAGGUGCGAAAGUGUGGGGAGCAAACAGG
This 253-nucleotide ribosomal RNA is filed under the name uncultured bacterium. RNAcentral's name for it is "partial 16S ribosomal RNA". It matches the Rfam family "Bacterial small subunit ribosomal RNA", at positions 524 to 776 of the family's 1533-position model. The record is from RNAcentral.